CUUCAGGGCAGGGUGAAAUUCCCGAUCGGAGGUAAAGUCCUCAAGUGCUUAGGCAUUGACUUGGUGAGAUUCCAAGACCGACAGUUAAAGUCUGGAUGGAAGAAGGU
Molecule: non-coding RNA, 107 nt
Filed under: uncultured Fusobacterium sp.
Lineage: Bacteria; Fusobacteriati; Fusobacteriota; Fusobacteriia; Fusobacteriales; Fusobacteriaceae
Description: FMN riboswitch (RFN element)
Rfam family: FMN riboswitch aptamer (RFN element)
About the family: The RFN element is a highly conserved domain that is found frequently in the 5'-untranslated regions of prokaryotic mRNAs that encode for flavin mononucleotide (FMN) biosynthesis and transport proteins. This element is a metabolite-dependent riboswitch that directly binds FMN in the absence of proteins. In Bacillus subtilis, the riboswitch most likely controls gene expression by causing premature transcription termination within the 5' untranslated region of the ribDEAHT operon and precluding access to the ribosome-binding site of ypaA mRNA.
Source: RNAcentral